GACGAACGCUGGCGGCGUGCUUAACACAUGCAAGUCGAACGGAAAGGCCCUGCUUUUGUGGGGUGCUCGAGUGGCGAACGGGUGAGUAACACGUGAGUAACCUGCCCUUGACUUUGGGAUAACUUCGGGAAACUGGGGCUAAUACCGGAUAGGAGCUCCUGCUGCAUGGUGGGGGUUGGAAAGUUUCGGCGGUCGGGGAUGGACUCGCGGCUUAUCAGCUUGUUGGUGGGGGAGUGGCUUACCAAGGCUUUGACGGAUAGCCGGCAUGAGAGGGUGACCGGGCACAAUGGGACUGAGAGACGGCCCAGACUCCUACGGGAGGCAGCAGUGGGGAAUAUUGCACAAUGGGCGGAAGCCUGAUGCAGCAACGCCGCGUGCGGGAUGACGGCCUUCGGGUUGUAAACCGCUUUCGCCUGUGACGAAGCGUGAGUGACGGUAAUGGGUAAAGAAGCACCGGCUAACUACGUG
Molecule: ribosomal RNA, 468 nt
Filed under: uncultured bacterium
Lineage: Bacteria
Description: partial 16S ribosomal RNA
Rfam family: Bacterial small subunit ribosomal RNA
Source: RNAcentral